GUGGGGAAUAUUGGACAAUGGGCGCAAGCCUGAUCCAGCCAUGCCGCGUGAGUGAUGAAGGCCCUAGGGUUGUAAAGCUCUUUCACCGGUGAAGAUAAUGACGGUAACCGGAGAAGAAGCCCCGGCUAACUUCGUGCCAGCAGCCGCGGUAAUACGAAGGGGGCUAGCGUUGUUCGGAAUUACUGGGCGUAAAGCGCACGUAGGCGGGUAUUUAAGUCAGGGGUGAAAUCCCGGAGCUCAACUCCGGAACUGCCUUUGAUACUGGGUACCUAGAGUAUGGAAGAGGUAAGUGGAAUUCCGAGUGUAGAGGUGAAAUUCGUAGAUAUUCGGAGGAACACCAGUGGCGAAGGCGGCUUACUGGUCCAUUACUGACGCUGAGGUGCGAAAGCGUGGGGAGCAAACAGGAUUAGAAACCCCUGUAGUCC
Molecule: ribosomal RNA, 425 nt
Filed under: uncultured bacterium
Lineage: Bacteria
Description: bacterial SSU rRNA
Rfam family: Bacterial small subunit ribosomal RNA
Source: RNAcentral